RNAcentral lists this ribosomal RNA (467 nucleotides) under uncultured bacterium. RNAcentral describes it as "partial 16S ribosomal RNA". It matches the Rfam family "Bacterial small subunit ribosomal RNA", at positions 29 to 507 of the family's 1533-position model. The record is from RNAcentral.
ACGAACGCUGGCGGCGUGCUUAACACAUGCACGUCGAACGGAAAGGCCCUGCUUUUGUGGGGUGCUCGAGUGGCGAACGGGUGAGUAACACGUGAGUAACCUGCCCUUGACUUUGGGAUAACUUCAGGAAACUGGGGCUAAUACCGGAUAGGAGCUCCUGCUGCAUGGUGGGGGUUGGAAAGUUUCGGCGGUUGGGGAUGGACUCGCGGCCUAUCAGCUUGUUGGUGGGGUAGUGGCUUACCAAGGCUUUGACGGGUAGCCGGCCUGAGAGGGUGACCGGCCACAUUGGGACUGAGAUACGGCCCAGACUCCUACGGGAGGCAGCAGUGGGGAAUAUUGCACAAUGGGCGGAAGCCUGAUGCAGCAACGCCGCGUGCGGGAUGACGGCCUUCGGGUUGUAAACCGCUUUCGCCUGUGACGAAGCGUGAGUGACGGUAAUGGGUAAAGAAGCACCGGCUAACUACGUG